Molecule: ribosomal RNA, 338 nt
Filed under: uncultured bacterium
Lineage: Bacteria
Description: bacterial SSU rRNA
Rfam family: Bacterial small subunit ribosomal RNA
Source: RNAcentral
GUACUACUCUCAGAGUUUGAUCCUGGCUCAGGACGAACGCUGGCGGCACGCCUAACACAUGCAAGUCGAACGGUGAAGAGGAGCUUGCUCCUCGGAUCAGUGGCGGACGGGUGAGUAACACGUGAGCAACCUGCCUUUCAGAGGGGGACAACAGUUGGAAACGACUGCUAAUACCGCAUAAUGUCAUUUAAAGGCAUCUUUGAAUGACCAAAGAUUUAUCGCUGAAAGAUGGGCUCGCGUCUGAUUAGAUAGUUGGUGAGGUAACGGCUCACCAAGUCGACGAUCAGUAGCCGGACUGAGAGGUUGAACGGCCACAUUGGGACUGAGACACGGCCCAG